This 252-nucleotide ribosomal RNA is filed under the name uncultured Bacteroidales bacterium. Its description in RNAcentral is "partial 16S ribosomal RNA". It matches the Rfam family "Bacterial small subunit ribosomal RNA", at positions 524 to 776 of the family's 1533-position model. The record is from RNAcentral. Lineage: Bacteria; Pseudomonadati; Bacteroidota; Bacteroidia; Bacteroidales.
UACGGAGGAUGCGAGCGUUAUCCGGAUUUAUUGGGUUUAAAGGGUGCGUAGGCGGAUUUGUAAGUCAGCGGUAAAAAUGCGGUGCUCAACGCCGUAUCGCCGUUGAAACUGCGGGUCUUGAGUGAGCGAGAAGUAUGCGGAAUGCGUGGUGUAGCGGUGAAAUGCGUAGAUAUUAGGAAGAACACCAGUGGCGAAGGCGGGUUACUGGACGACAACUGACGGUGAGGCGCGAAAGCGUGGGGAGCAAACAGG